UCGUUAUGUUUUGUUAUGGUGGGGUCUUUUUGUACCAACAUUUACGUUUUCGAGCGGUAGAUGAACAUUGCCUAAUUGUUCUCUUUGCUAAACGUGACUUAAGUCGGGGUAAUUUGUGUAUGGUUUCAAUUUUUGUUAGUCUGCUUUGCUUGUGUUAUAAUUAUCUAUUUUCUUUAAUUAAUAAAUUUUGUUUUGUUUUUUGUUUUUAUUAUUAUUUAAUUUUAUUUAUUUAUUGGGCUAAAAUUGUGACACCUAAUGUGAUCCCGUUUGGUUCAUGUUAUUGACACCUGUAAGACCCCAAUUUUGAUCCUAAGAUCCCUCAUGCCAUCUCAUC
This 334-nucleotide long non-coding RNA is filed under the name Lathyrus oleraceus (garden pea). Its description in RNAcentral is "Pisum sativum (pea) long non-coding RNA (PSAT_LNC008675)". Lineage: Eukaryota; Viridiplantae; Streptophyta; Magnoliopsida; Fabales; Fabaceae. The record is from RNAcentral.